ACGACAAUGUCUCCUAUAUUGCUUUGUUGUUUUCGACAAUUGACGGCACUAGUAAUGUGCUAUCUGUUUUACGGUUCGAUAUAUUUAUAUACACACACACGUAUAUUUAUCGCAGACGUGUUCGCACCGUCCGAAUGAAAUAAUCGAAACGAACUCGCGACAGGAGAAACAAAAAUAAACCACACUUAAACAGCGCUAUCGUUGAGAAAAAUAAUAUUCACGAUCCGGUUCGC
This is a non-coding RNA of Cinara cedri, 233 nucleotides long. The record is from the annotation of a GenBank genome assembly. NCBI's taxonomy places the organism in Eukaryota, Metazoa, Arthropoda, Insecta, Hemiptera, Aphididae.